CUGAAUAUUGUGGUGCUGGUGAAAAUGUCUCACGCUCUCUUUAGCCUGCUGCAGUCUGAGCUGAUGAUUUUCUCGGCAGUGAUCCUGGUGGGAUAAUACAAGUCACAUACAUGGUUUUUAGUAAAACAUGAGAUGCAGUAAUGUUGGAAGCAUUGCAUUUUUGACUAACAUGUAAGGUGUUCAGUUUCCACUGAAGGUCAAUGAUAGGUCCUCCUCUACAGUCGUGUGACAAGGACUGCCACAGGUGGCAUCUGUUCCCAGCAGAGUGCUUUGAGAGAUGAAGUGUCUCAACCAUCUGUUUUAGUACAUUUAUUGAUUGAUUGAUUUUGGUGGGGGAGGAAAAUGCACACAUACCAUAGCACAGACAGAGGUCAAGGACAGCUAUCUGGACACACACACGUGCCAUAGCACACAGACAGAGGUCGAGGACAGCUAUCUGGACACACACACGUGCCAUAGCACACAGACAGAGGUCAAGGACAGCUAUCUGGACACACACGUGCCAUAGCACACAGACAGAGGUCAAGGACAGCUAUCUGGACACACACAUGCCAUAGCACACAGACAGAGGUCAAGGACAGCUAUCUGGACACACACAUGCCAUAGCACACAGACAGAGGUCAAGGACAGCUAUCUGGACACACACAUGCCAUAGCACACAGACAGGUCAAGGACAGCUUGCUGGAGUCAGUUUUCUCCUUCUAUCAUGUGGGUGGGUUCUGGUCAUCGUGCUCAGCAGAGUAGGCCUUUAUAGUGCAGCCAUCUCACAAAUGUUUAGACCCACUUCCCCAUGUUAUAGAUACUGAGUAUAUAUUUCCAAACUCAUCUACAAAAACAUAGCCCACCUAAAAAUACCUGGAAAAUGAUGUUACAAACUGUACUUCUCCCACUUAACCACUCCCCUAACCCUUCAUGUACAGGAAUGCAGCAAUAUUACCAUUCCCUGGGUGUGUUUUCAACCUCAGCUGCAGAGCCCGUUACUCCACGUUCACUGUGAAACCUGUGUCAUUAGUGUUACUGUCUUCCAACAGAUGAAAAUCUCAGCUGAAGAGAAACUGGAGGGAAGGACUGGAAGGUGGCUCAGUAGUCAAAAGUACUCAAACUCUUGCAGAAGAACGGAGUUCAGUUCCCAGCACCCACACUGGGCAGCUCACCAUGACCUGUAACUACAGCUCCAGGGAUCUGAUGCCUUUCUCUGGCCUCCACAGGCAUCUGCAUCCAUGUGCACAUAUACACAUGCAAACACACAUACACAAACAUAUAAAAAUAAAUCUUAAAAAAAAAGCUGUCAGGCGGUGGUGGCGCACGCCUUUAAUCCCAGCACUCGGGAGGCAGAGCCAGGUGGAUCUCUGUGAGUUUGAGGCCAGCCUGGUCUACAAAGUGAGUUCCAGGAUAGGCUUCAAAAACUACACAGAGAAACCCUGUCUUGAAAAACAAAAAAAACAAAAACAACAACAACAAAAAGCUGUCAAUUUGCCCUUGAAAGGUCAUGAGUGGCCAAGCUAUGAUUUCAACUGACAAUGGAAUUUGAAAGGGGACCUCAGCUUCCAUCCUGUUAGCCCAGUGGAAGCUAGGCUGCACAGAGGAAGGCCACCAUCUGCGGGGCAAGGGUCAAUGCUCCAGGUCAGUAUAAGACAAUGCUUCUCAACCUGUGGGUUGUGACCCUUCGGGGGUCAAAUGACCCCUUCACAGGGGUCACUUGACCCUUCACAGGGGUCACCUAAGAUCAUCCGAAAACAGAUAUUCACAUUAUGAUUCAUAACAGUAGCAAAACUACAAUUAUGAAGUAGCAAGGAAAAAAAUGUAUGGCUGGGGUCACCACACCAUGAGGAGCUGUCUUAAAGGGUCGCAGCAUUGGGAAGGUUGAGAAUCACUGGUAGAACAGCCCCUAGCCCAGAGACUACAGCUCUAGGGCACAGACCUGCGAAGAUCAGUCCAGGAAAUGACGUUUGGGUGAGGAGUAAGACCCUCAAAGGCUAGAAAGGAAGGCACAGCUGGGCACCUGCCUGACAUCCAAGCCACUGAGCAUGCUGAGGUCGGCAGGCAGCUCAGCAAGGCCUGCCCUCAAAGGAAAACCAGGCUGGGCGUGCGGGCUCCAGCUGACCGGCAGAGCACUUGCCUAAUAAACAAUCCCAAAUGCAAAAGAAAGGAAAAAAAUUAAAACUCCAAUAAUAAA
This is a long non-coding RNA of Peromyscus californicus insignis, 2176 nucleotides long. RefSeq lists it as uncharacterized. The transcript has 2 exons. Lineage: Eukaryota; Metazoa; Chordata; Mammalia; Rodentia; Cricetidae. The record is from RefSeq and is a predicted model, not a curated record.